AACGAACGCUGGCGGCAUGCCUAACACAUGCAAGUCGAACGAACCCUUCGGGGUUAGUGGCGCACGGGUGCGUAACGCGUGGGAAUCUGCCCUUGGCUUCGGAAUAACAGUUAGAAAUGACUGCUAAUACCGGAUGAUGUCUUCGGACCAAAGAUGUUAUCGGCCAGGGAUGAGCCCGCGUAGGAUUAGGUAGUUGGUGGGGUAAAGGCCUACCAAGCCGACGAUCCUUAGCUGGUCUGAGAGGAUGAUCAGCCACACUGGGACUGAGACACGGCCCAGACUCCUAGGGGAGGCAGCAGUGGGGAAUAUUGGACAAGGGGCGCAAGCCUGAUCCAGCAAUGCCGCGUGAGUGAUGAAGGCCUUAGGGUCGUAAAGCUCUUUUACCCGGGAUGAUAAUGACAGUACCGGGAGAAUAAGCUCCGGCUAACUCCGUGCCAGCAGCCGCGGUAA
Molecule: ribosomal RNA, 450 nt
Filed under: uncultured bacterium
Lineage: Bacteria
Description: partial 16S ribosomal RNA
Rfam family: Bacterial small subunit ribosomal RNA
Source: RNAcentral